Molecule: transfer RNA, 63 nt
Filed under: Isotomurus maculatus
Lineage: Eukaryota; Metazoa; Arthropoda; Collembola; Entomobryomorpha; Isotomidae
Description: tRNA-Thr
Source: RNAcentral
GCUUUUAUAGUUUAAAUAAAAAUUUUAAUCUUGUAAAUUAAAGAUUGGGCCACCAUAAGAGCU